CCUUUCGGGGGUACUCGAGUGGCGAACGGGUGAGUAACACGUGGGUGAUCUGCCCUGCACUUUGGGAUAAGCCUGGGAAACUGGGUCUAAUACCGAAUACACCCUGCUGGUCGCAUGGCCUGGUGGGGGAAAGCUUUUGCGGUGUGGGAUGGGCCCGCGGCCUAUCAGCUUGUUGGUGGGGUGAUGGCCUACCAAGGCGACGACGGGUAGCCGGCCUGAGAGGGUGUCCGGCCACACUGGGACUGAGAUACGGCCCAGACUCCUACGGGAGGCAGCAGUGGGGAAUAUUGCACAAUGGGCGCAAGCCUGAUGCAGCGACGCCGCGUGAGGGAUGACGGCCUUCGGGUUGUAAACCUCUUUCAGCAGGGACGAAGCGCAAGUGACGGUACCUGCAGAAGAAGCACCGGCCAACUACGUGCCAGCAGCCGCGGUAAUACGUAGGGUGCGAGCGUUGUCCGGAAUUACUGGGCGUAAAGAGCUCGUAGGUGGUUUGUCGCGUUGUUCGUGAAAACUCACAGCUCAACUGUGGGCGUGCGGGCGAUACGGGCAGACUGGAGUACUGCAGGGGAGACUGGAAUUCCUGGUGUAGCGGUGGAAUGCGCAGAUAUCAGGAGGAACACCGGUGGCGAAGGCGGGUCUCUGGGCAGUAACUGACGCUGAGGAGCGAAAGCGUGGGGAGCGAACAGGAUUAGAUACCCUGGUAGUCCACGCCGUAAACGGUGGGUACUAGGUGUGGGUUUCCUUCCUUGGGAUCCGUGCCGUAGCUAACGCAUUAAGUACCCCGCCUGGGGAGUACGGCCGCAAGGCUAAAACUCAAAGAAAUUGACGGGGGCCCGCACAAGCGGCGGAGCAUGUGGAUUAAUUCGAUGCAACGCGAAGAACCUUACCUGGGUUUGACAUGC
Molecule: ribosomal RNA, 902 nt
Filed under: Mycobacterium sp. CB 286529
Lineage: Bacteria; Bacillati; Actinomycetota; Actinomycetes; Mycobacteriales; Mycobacteriaceae
Description: bacterial SSU rRNA
Rfam family: Bacterial small subunit ribosomal RNA
Source: RNAcentral